This 432-nucleotide ribosomal RNA is filed under the name uncultured bacterium. RNAcentral describes it as "partial 16S ribosomal RNA". It matches the Rfam family "Bacterial small subunit ribosomal RNA", at positions 29 to 506 of the family's 1533-position model. The record is from RNAcentral.
AACGAACGCUGGCGGCAGGCCUAACACAUGCAAGUCGAGCGAGGACUUCGGUCCUAGCGGCGGACGGGUGAGUAACGCGUGGGAACGUGCCCUUUGCUUCGGAAUAGCCCUGGGAAACUGGGAGUAAUACCGGAUGAGCCCUUUGGGGGAAAGAUUUAUCGGCGAAGGAUCGGCCCGCGUUGGAUUAGGUAGUUGGUGGGGUAAUGGCCUACCAAGCCGACGAUCCAUAGCUGGUUUGAGAGGAUGAUCAGCCACACUGGGACUGAGACACGGCCCAGACCUCAUGGGGGGGGAGGAAGGGGGAAUUUUAAAAAAUGGGGGAAACCCUAAUUCAGCCAUGGCGGGUGGGGGGUGGAGGCCUUAGGGUUUAAAAGCUUUUUUCGCUGGGAAAGUAAUGGCGGUACCAAGAAGAAAAACCCCGGCUAACCCCGU